Molecule: ribosomal RNA, 708 nt
Filed under: Pseudomonadota bacterium
Lineage: Bacteria; Pseudomonadati; Pseudomonadota
Description: bacterial SSU rRNA
Rfam family: Bacterial small subunit ribosomal RNA
Source: RNAcentral
AUGAACGCUGGCGGAAUGCUUUACACAUGCAAGUCGAACGGCAGCACGGAGAGCUUGCUCUCUGGUGGCGAGUGGCGAACGGGUGAGUAAUAUAUCGGAACGUGUCCAAUAAUGGGGGAUAACGAGUCGAAAGAUUCGCUAAUACCGCAUACGCCCUACGGGGGAAAGCAGGGGAUCGUAAGACCUUGCGUUAAUGGAGCGGCCGAUAUCUGAUUAGCUUGUUGGUGAGGUAAAGGCUCACCAAGGCGACGAUCAGUAGCUGGUUUGAGAGAACGACCAGCCACACUGGAACUGAGACACGGUCCAGACUCCUACGGGAGGCAGCAGUGGGGAAUUUUGGACAAUGGGGGCAACCCUGAUCCAGCCAUUCCGCGUGAGUGAAGAAGGCCUUCGGGUUGUAAAGCUCUUUCGCAAGGGAAGAAAACUUAUGAUCGAAUAAAUCAUGAGGUUGACGGUACCUUGAUAAGAAGCACCGGCUAACUACGUGCCAGCAGCCGCGGUAAUACGUAGGGUGCGAGCGUUAAUCGGAAUUACUGGGCGUAAAGCGUGCGCAGGCGGUUUUGUAAGUCGGAUGUGAAAUCCCCGGGCUCAACCUGGGAACUGCGUUCGAAACUGCAAGGCUAGAGUGUGUCAGAGGGGGGUAGAAUUCCACGUGUAGCAGUGAAAUGCGUAGAGAUGUGGAGGAAUACCAAUGGCGAAGGCAGCCCC